CGAGCACGUCUGCAACCGCGACAGCUCCGCGCGCUACGAAGAAACGCCGCAAUCGACGCUACUGUUGCGUUGUAAAUUGCCAUGAACGUGAAGGACUGGAUAACAACGUUCAGUUUUACCGAUUUCCAUCGCGGUCGUAUGAAGGAGAGAGGCGAGAGCGCUGGAUACGGGCCGUUCAACGUGUUGGCCCCGACGGAGGACUAUGGCAACCAAGCGAAAACUCAAGAAUCUGUAGCCGCCACUUCGUUGGCAACAGAAAAAGCAACGUUGCGAACCAUCCUGCGUAUGUGCCAUCGAUAUUUCCAUCUGUGUACAGACGUCCGCCUCCGCUUGACUCAGCAAGUGGAACGGAGAGAUUUGGCAGAUGGCAGAAAAGACACCAGGCAGAUGCUGCAGCUACAACUGGGCAAAGUACAGAUAUCUCAACUUCUGCCGAGUGCACAAGCGGCACUGUACCAAGCUCUUGUGCAGCCCAAGAGCAUGCUGAAGCUGAAAUGCUAAAUAUUCACAGCAUCGAAACAGAAGUUCCCCUUGUCAUUGAAGGAGGUAUUGCUGAUUCUGUGCUUUCCCCUCAAAGACUUGAGGUUGUUCCUGCAGAAUGUGCAAGUGAAACUGCCGUCAAUCAGCAGCAUAUUGUACGGACUGUUGCAGUUGGCCCCAGCACCAGAACAUGCUUUUUUGCUGGCUUCCACAGCAUCAUGGGCAGCCCAGAUGCACUAAGAAGUCUUUGUGGUGUUGA
Long non-coding RNA from Dermacentor silvarum, 739 nucleotides. RefSeq lists it as uncharacterized. The transcript is spliced from 4 exons. NCBI's taxonomy places the organism in Eukaryota, Metazoa, Arthropoda, Arachnida, Ixodida, Ixodidae. The record is from RefSeq and is a predicted model, not a curated record.